CUAACACAUGCAAGUCGAACGAAGUCUUCGGACUUAGUGGCGCACGGGUGCGUAACGCGUGGGAAUCUGCCCUUGGGUACGGAAUAACUCAGAGAAAUUUGUGCUAAUACCGUAUAAUGUCUUCGGACCAAAGAUUUAUCGCCCAAGGAUGAGCCCGCGUAGGAUUAGCUAGUUGGUGAGGUAAAAGCUCACCAAGGCGACGAUCCUUAGCUGGUCUGAGAGGAUGAUCAGCCACACUGGGACUGAGACACGGCCCAGACUCCUACGGGAGGCAGCAGUGGGGAAUAUUGGACAAUGGGCGAAAGCCUGAUCCAGCAAUGCCGCGUGAGUGAUGAAGGCCUUAGGGUUGUAAAGCUCUUUUACCCGGGAUGAUAAUGACAGUACCGGGAGAAUAAGCUCCGGCUAACUCCGUGCCAGCAGCCGCGGUAAUACGGAGGGAGCUAGCGUUGUUCGGAAUUACUGGGCGUAAAGCGCGCGUAGGCGGUUUUUUAAGUCAGAGGUGAAAGCCCAGUGCUCAACACUGGAACUGCCUUUGAAACUGGAAAACUUGAAUCUUGGAGAGGUCAGUGGAAUUCCGAGUGUAGAGGUGAAAUUCGUAGAUAUUCGGAAGAACACCAGUGGCGAAGGCGACUGACUGGACAAGUAUUGACGCUGAGGUG
This 659-nucleotide ribosomal RNA is filed under the name uncultured Alphaproteobacteria bacterium. Its description in RNAcentral is "bacterial SSU rRNA". It matches the Rfam family "Bacterial small subunit ribosomal RNA", at positions 48 to 753 of the family's 1533-position model. The record is from RNAcentral. Lineage: Bacteria; Pseudomonadati; Pseudomonadota; Alphaproteobacteria.